CCUGGGAGAACGAGGAGAGACGUGAGCAAUUCGGGGCUGGAAUGCAUUGGGAGUUGCCUUGCGACGCUGCGGCGAAUACCAGAGAGGUGAGACGAGGCAACGCACACCACCCCGCACCGCGCUGCCGCAGCCGUGCCCCACGGGGAGGGCUCCGGACACAGCUGCACUGGCACCCACCCCAGGAGAGCUCUCAGCCCUCAAACAGCCCCUUCCUGCUCCCCGCAUGGGAACGGCUCGGCCCUUCCCGCUGCUCUGCCCCACGCUGCACGCGGGAAGCAGUUCCCCAGCAGCCCCAGGGAGCCCAGCCUGUUCCAGCUGGGAGAAAUGCUGCUCACUGCUCUAUUUCCAAGCCUGCUGGGAAGACAAACUCAUCUUACUGCGGGGGCAAAGGCAGAACUGGAGGCUGGUAUUUGCUGCCAGCACGUGCUGCAGCCACGCUCUAAAGCUGAGAAAGUUUGCAGCUCAACCUCAGCCCUGAGGUGUUAACUCGUGCUUUGCCCCUGGCCACAAUUUCAGUGUUUGAGAGCAACUUGCAGAGCUGCCCCUGUACAUUCUCACCUUCCUUGGUGGCACUGAGGCCAUGGGCAGCCCCCUCAAAGAGCAUCCUCAUCACACAACCCCAUGGUCUGAACCGUGCCAACUGCACUGCCAUACAGCGCUGCUCACCCCCAUUCUAGAAUCACUUCUGGAGGGUUCUUUCAGCCUAUGAGCUCGGAAGAACAGAGGAAGGUGGGGCAGCACCAAGAAGCACAGAGCAGCCAGCAUCACCCGGGGUGCAGCAGUGACCAAGGGCUGGAGGGAGGCCCCCUGCUCUUUGAACUGCUCCAGAGCGUCCUGGGAGCCAGGCAGAAUGAGCAGCCAUUAAUCAAAGCCCGGCACGUAAUCAGCACACAUGUAACGCAGAGUCGCCCACGUCCCUGAGCCAGCCCCAGCCAGCACAUUGCAGAGGAGAAGAGGUCCUUCAAAGCCCUAUGCACACAGACACCAGGAGCUGGGUUCAUUCACAAAGCUCCAUCGCUUGGCUCGGCCAGGUCUGGCUGUCAGAAAUGUUUAAAUAUGGAAAAAAAUAAACAGUUGCAACACGUUUUUU
This is a long non-coding RNA of Coturnix japonica (Japanese quail), 1090 nucleotides long. RefSeq lists it as uncharacterized. The record is from RefSeq and is a predicted model, not a curated record. Lineage: Eukaryota; Metazoa; Chordata; Aves; Galliformes; Phasianidae.